Cinara cedri is the source of this 220-nucleotide non-coding RNA. The record is from the annotation of a GenBank genome assembly. NCBI's taxonomy places the organism in Eukaryota, Metazoa, Arthropoda, Insecta, Hemiptera, Aphididae.
AGUAAUUUCAUAAUUCGUUAUACUAUUUGAUAACUGUCCAAUUUUAGUACCUAUUUCUAGUAAUAUUUUCUGGUUUUAUAAAUUCAUAAGGCGAUAAGAUAAUAUGAGGUGUGAUGUACAAUAUCCAUGGAUUUAUUAUUAAACUUGUUAAACCAACGAAUUAAGACUUUUUAUUUUGGUCUUCUUUGUCUUGCGAUGCCGAAAAGUAUCUAGCGCUGCA